UACGUAGGGGGCAAGCGUUGUCCGGAUUUAUUGGGCGUAAAGCGCGCGCAGGCGGUCCUUUAAGUCUGAUGUGAAAGCCCACGGCUCAACCGUGGAGGGUCAUUGGAAACUGGGGGACUUGAGUACAGAAGAGGAGAGUGGAAUUCCACGUGUAGCGGUGAAAUGCGUAGAGAUGUGGAGGAACACCAGUGGCGAAGGCGACUCUUUGGUCUGUAACUGACGCUGAGGCGCGAAAGCGUGGGGAGCAAACAGG
Molecule: ribosomal RNA, 253 nt
Filed under: uncultured bacterium
Lineage: Bacteria
Description: partial 16S ribosomal RNA
Rfam family: Bacterial small subunit ribosomal RNA
Source: RNAcentral